This 74-nucleotide transfer RNA is filed under the name Schistocerca americana (American grasshopper). Its description in RNAcentral is "tRNA-Thr". It matches the Rfam family "tRNA". From Rfam's summary of the family: Transfer RNA (tRNA) molecules are approximately 80 nucleotides in length. Their secondary structure includes four short double-helical elements and three loops (D, anti-codon, and T loops). The record is from RNAcentral. Lineage: Eukaryota; Metazoa; Arthropoda; Insecta; Orthoptera; Acrididae.
UCCUCGGUGGCUCAGAUGGACAGAGCGUCUGCCAUGUAAGCAGGAUAUCCCGGGUUCGAAUCCCGGUCGGGGCA